CUUCUCUCAUAGUGGCCUUGGCAGGCCAAGAAGGAGGGGACAUUGCCAGUCUGGCAAUGCCAGUCUGCCUUCUUUCACCUGAAAAUGAAACCAGUUCUUAAUAAGAUCCUCCUAAAGUCAAUCAAAGCCCCAGUUCCUAUCAUUUUCCCAUGGCUGCCCUUUUCUGAGAAGUUCCAAGCCAUUGAACUGAAUUGCAACUUAUGCACAGCAGAGUGUUGAAACAAUGCAGGAUAUUUGUUCCUUCUUUCUGAAUUAGAGUUCACCAUAAGCGUGCUUUUCUCUUGUUCACUUUGGGCUGCCAGGACAAUUUAAAGGAGGUUUUCAGCAGCUUCUGUUGCAUGUGCCAUGUUCUCUUUAGCAAAUGGGAAGAUAUGUGUGGGUGUGCAUAAGUCUUCUCUGUAUUACUUUCUGGAGAAAUGUUUGCGGAGAUGAACAAGAUAAGGAGUAGGGACCUAUUGAAAGCCC
Molecule: long non-coding RNA, 465 nt
Filed under: Bos taurus (domestic cattle)
Lineage: Eukaryota; Metazoa; Chordata; Mammalia; Artiodactyla; Bovidae
Description: long non-coding RNA NONBTAT000518
Source: RNAcentral